Molecule: long non-coding RNA, 2293 nt
Organism: Leucoraja erinaceus (little skate)
Lineage: Eukaryota; Metazoa; Chordata; Chondrichthyes; Rajiformes; Rajidae
Exons: 3
Source: RefSeq, a predicted model, not a curated record
CCCCUCCAGCAGGGGGGCGGAGGACAGCGCAGUCGUAAAUGACGUGCUACGCUGUUUGCUGGUCUGCUCCACACACGCAGGCUGCUGGUGAACGCAGCCCCCCAGCGAUGCAUGGUGGCGUUGAACCGGCCGACCCCUGUACGGAGCCGGUUCAGGGCGACCCACUCUUUUGCGGGGCAGGGCCGAGCCGGGGUGGGGCUAUGGUGUUCGGUGCAACAGUGAAUUGCGGAGGUCACAUGACAACAGUGAUCAGAGCUCAGGACUAUUUAAGUGGCGUUAGCAUUUUAGCAACUUUUGACUUGGUGAAAGGCACAUUGUAUGUAUAAGGUUUUUCCGUAGAGUUAAAGCAAAAUAGAGACACCUGGACAACUGAGUAUGCAAAUCAGGAUCCAGAGACAGGAUCCCGACUGACAGGUUUUGUGAGUCAGGAGGUAAGAUUGCAGGUCUCUCUGAUCAUCAAUAUCUUCCUGGCUUUUCCCACCUGAUGUCAACAGAAAGGAAAAUGCCACUUGGGCUCAGAGAAAGAAUUGAUCUUACUGACCAAACAACCUUUUAAAACAUCUCAGGAGUGUAAAUAAGUUGCGAUAAUCCAGUCAUUAUUUACACAGUGGUAUGGGGAACUUUGGGUGCAAAUUUGCUGUGACAUUCUCACAUCACCACUGCAGAUGGCUGGAAAGAACUUUGGAAUUUCAAGAACAGUUUCUUCAGGCUCUUGAACACUACACAACACUAACCUCACCAACUAUGAACUUGUAUGGACUGUGCCUUUGGUUACACUACCUACUUCGGUUAUUCUGCACAAGUAUUACAGCUGAAUGUCUGUUUACAGAGGAAUAUGACUGAAUUUUGGAGCCUUCCCUCACAGUGGGAACUUUGAUCCCGCUGUGUGGGGAUGUCUGUGUUAAAAAUCUAUCGUGCUCUGUGCUCUUUGUAUGGCUGUAUGGCGACCAUACAUUUCACUGUACGGAUUGGUAAGUGACAAAUAAAUGUAUCUUGUAUCUUAUCUUGUCCCUUUAAGUUGCUGCAAGUAAGAAUUCCAUUGUUCUAUUAACAAUAUAUAUGACAAUUAAAUAUAUUUCAAAAAAAUAUUUUUUUAAAAUUAAUGAAGGUGCAAUGGUUUGAUGGUGCAAUGGUUCCCUCUGCUGGGCAGAGAAGAGGUUGCCCUUAAAUAAAAACUACUGAAAUUAGUGACACCAAUUAUAUUUGUACAUUCUUGUUGCUACUGUUUCAAAGCGACCUCUCACUAUUUUCUGAAAGCACUGGGCUGAAAUAAUUUGGCUGUUUCCUAUUACUUUUUGAAAUAAGAUAUUGAUUGCUCCCACAUAAGUAAAUUUGCCAAACUUCCUAAAUGUACCUGGCCAACAAGUAACAUUGGGUUUAGUUAGAGCAUAUUGGCCUUCACCAUUUAUUUUAAUAACCUACACUAAAUAACAUCUCCAGAUUCAAUCUGAAGAAAGGUCUCAUCUCAAAACGUCACCUAUCCAUGUUUUUCUCUAGGGAUGCUGCCUGGCCCGCUGAGUUACACCAGUAUUUGGUGUCUUCCCUUAGUAAAUCAGCAUCUGCAGCUGUUUCUACAUUGUUCCAUUUUGACAGAUUUGAUUUGUGACACAUUCUGCAGGGACUAUGUUUGCUCAUGUUCAAGUCUGCACCUGUCACAAUUAAUUAUGAGCUUCACACAUUCAGCUCAUUAAUACCAUCAUAUAAUCACUUGACAAUCCCAACGACUAUGCCUUUGUAACCUUCUGCCCUGCUAUCCUUGCCGACAUGUAUUGUACACGUGUUCAGUGGGUUCUUUAUCUGACACACGUGAGAUAUGAAAACUUGGACACGUUAAUCAUUUAUUCCAAGGGCUUGUCACGGACAAUCUCUGGAGCAAUCUGCACACAUUAUUCCCGUCCAGAGAGCAGUCACUGGAUGAAUUAUGUCAGGGAUGGAUAUUGAGGACAAUCUAAAUGUCAUAAGGUGGAUUGUUUUAGCCCUAAUUUAAGCUUCUUUUUCCCUCUGUUGCCUUCUAGCCAAAGGUGACAAGGUUGGAAAGCUAAUGUUAAAUGUUGCCAAUGAAGAAGGGAUGCAUCUAGUGCUCAUGUCAACAUGACCUUUAACCUAACAUGUAGCAGAGCAGAAUUUCUGUUAGGUAAUUUGUUCAUGUAAACAACACCAUUUUCCUCUGGUUCACAGAUGCCAAACAAAAUUUAUAGUGCCCUGCUCUUGAUUUCCAAAAAUAUACAAUUUUCGAACGACAAUUUGCAAUUCUAAUAUAUAUUUAAUGUAGUAAAGCUUUAAAUUCUCUCUU